GACGAACGCUGGCGGCGUGCUUAACACAUGCAAGUCGAGCGGUAAGGCCCUUUCGGGGGUACGACGAGCGGCGAACGGGUGAGUAACACGUGGGUGACCUGCCCUCAGCUCUGGGAUAAGCCUGGGAAACCGGGUCUAAUACCGGAUAUGACUCCAUGACGCAUGUUGUGGGGUGGAAAGCCUUGUGCGGCUGAGGAUGGGCCCGCGGCCUAUCAGCUUGUUGGUGGGGUGAUGGCCUACCAAGGCGACGACGGGUAGCCGGCCUGAGAGGGCGACCGGCCACACUGGGACUGAGACACGGCCCAGACUCCUACGGGGGCG
RNAcentral lists this ribosomal RNA (321 nucleotides) under uncultured bacterium. Its description in RNAcentral is "bacterial SSU rRNA". It matches the Rfam family "Bacterial small subunit ribosomal RNA", at positions 28 to 349 of the family's 1533-position model. The record is from RNAcentral.